This 71-nucleotide transfer RNA is filed under the name Loxodonta africana (African savanna elephant). It matches the Rfam family "tRNA". Rfam says of the family: Transfer RNA (tRNA) molecules are approximately 80 nucleotides in length. Their secondary structure includes four short double-helical elements and three loops (D, anti-codon, and T loops). Further hydrogen bonds mediate the characteristic L-shaped molecular structure. tRNAs have two regions of fundamental functional importance: the anti-codon, which is responsible for specific mRNA codon recognition, and the 3' end, to which the tRNAs corresponding amino acid is attached (by aminoacyl-tRNA synthetases). tRNAs cope with the degeneracy of the genetic code in two manners: having more than one tRNA (with a specific anti-codon) for a particular amino acid; and 'wobble' base-pairing, i.e. permitting non-standard base-pairing at the 3rd anti-codon position. The record is from Rfam by way of RNAcentral. Lineage: Eukaryota; Metazoa; Chordata; Mammalia; Proboscidea; Elephantidae.
GGUAUGGUGGUUGAGUGGUAGAAUUCCCGCCUUCCACGCGGGAGACCUGGGUUCAAUUCCUGGCCAAUGCA